Molecule: long non-coding RNA, 282 nt
Organism: Puntigrus tetrazona (Sumatra barb)
Lineage: Eukaryota; Metazoa; Chordata; Actinopteri; Cypriniformes; Cyprinidae
Exons: 3
Source: RefSeq, a predicted model, not a curated record
CUGGGGUCCGUGGGGCCCAUGGCCGCCCUCCACUCCUCCACGGCGUUCUCCUUCGUCAGCACCAUCACCGUACACGGGCCGCUGCAGAGAAAGAAACCACGUUUCAACUCAUCUGUGUUCUGCGUCGAGCCUUCUAGCUCAGAUCGUGUCCUUCAGGCGGGAAAUGGAGAAUCCUCUGGCCCGAAUCUCCUCCAGGAUUUCCUCUGAUGUGAGCAGAAGUCAAAUAAACGUGUCCGGUUUGAUGACGGCGAGCGUGUCCUCCGGUGGGAAGAAGAAGCCGAU